GACGAACGCUGGCGGCGUGCUUAACACAUGCAAGUCGAACGGUAAGGCCCUUCGGGGUACACGAGUGGCGAACGGGUGAGUAACACGUGGGUGAUCUGCCCUGCACUUCGGGAUAAGCCUGGGAAACUGGGUCUAAUACCGGAUAGGACCCUGGGAUGCAUGUCCUGGGGUGGAAAGCUUUUGCGGUGUGGGAUGGGCCCGCGGCCUAUCAGCUUGGUGGUGGGGUGAUGGCCUACCAAGGCGACGAGGGGUAGCCGGCCUGAGAGGGUGACCGGCGUCACGGGGACUGAGAGACGGGCCAGACUCCUACGGGAGGCAGCAGUGGGGAAUAUUGCACAGUGGGCGCAAGACUGAUGCAGCGACGCCGCGUGAGGGAUGACGGCCUUCGGGUUGUAAACCUCUUUCAGCACCGACGAAGCGCAAGUGACGGUAGGUGCAGAAGAAGGACCGGCCAACUACGUGCCAGCCGCCGCAGUAA
This 478-nucleotide ribosomal RNA is filed under the name uncultured bacterium. RNAcentral's name for it is "partial 16S ribosomal RNA". It matches the Rfam family "Bacterial small subunit ribosomal RNA", at positions 28 to 523 of the family's 1533-position model. The record is from RNAcentral.